AUCUAAUGGAUGAUGGGUAGAGCUUAGGUGGGAACAGAAGGAAAAUGUUCUGAAAGUCGUGGGUGAGCCUGUACUGUGUGCUUAGUAAGGGGGAACUGGGCUUCUACAAGGACUCCAAGGGCCCGGCAUCCGGGAGCACACACGGUGGGGAACCGCUGCUCAGCCUGCACAAGGCCACCAGCGAGGUGGCUAGUGACUACAAGAAAAAGAAGCAUGUCUUCAAGCUCCAGACCCAGGAUGGCAGUGAGUUUUUGCUCCAGGCAAAAGAUGAGGAGGAGAUGAACGGCUGGCUGGAGGCUGUGGCUUCCUCGGUGGCGGAACACGCAGAGAUCGCCCGCUGGGGCCAGACACUACCCACUACUUCAUCCACAGAUGAGGGCAACCCUAAGAGGGAAAGCGGGGAUCGCAGGGCCAGCGGGCGCAGGAAGUGACUUCCCACCCCCAGGACCUGACACAUCUCGUCUCCCCUCUUUUCCGCACUGUGGGCACAAAGACACUUUUUCUUCCGCAGGGGCGGGAGCCCCU
This 525-nucleotide small RNA is filed under the name Pan troglodytes (chimpanzee). RNAcentral describes it as "processed transcript". The record is from RNAcentral. Lineage: Eukaryota; Metazoa; Chordata; Mammalia; Primates; Hominidae.